This 468-nucleotide ribosomal RNA is filed under the name uncultured bacterium. RNAcentral's name for it is "partial 16S ribosomal RNA". It matches the Rfam family "Bacterial small subunit ribosomal RNA", at positions 28 to 507 of the family's 1533-position model. The record is from RNAcentral.
GACGAACGCUGGCGGCGUGCUUAACACAUGCAAGUCGAACGGAAAGGCCCUGCUUUUGUGGGGUGCUCGAGUGGCGAACGGGUGAGUAACACGUGAGUAACCUGCCCUUGACUUUGGGAUAACUUCAGGAAACUGGGGCUAAUACCGGAUAGGAGCUCGUGCUGCAUGGUGGGGGUUGGAAAGUUUCGGCGGUUGGGGAUGGACUCGCGGCUUAUCAGCUUGUUGGUGGGGUAGUGGCUUACCAAGGCUUUGACGGGUAGCCGGCCUGAGAGGGUGACCGGCCACAUUGGGACUGAGAUACGGCCCAGACUCCUACGGUAGGCAGCAGUGGGGAAUAUUGCACAAUGGGCGGAAGCCUGAUGCAGCAACGCCGCGUGCGGGAUGACGGCCUUCGGGUGGUAAACCGCUUUCGCCUGUGACGAAGCGUGAGUGACGGUAAUGGGUAAAGAAGCACCGGCUAACUACGUG